Camelus dromedarius (Arabian camel) is the source of this 6002-nucleotide long non-coding RNA. RefSeq lists it as uncharacterized. Lineage: Eukaryota; Metazoa; Chordata; Mammalia; Artiodactyla; Camelidae. The transcript has 3 exons. The record is from RefSeq and is a predicted model, not a curated record.
AGGUGGGGGGCAAAGAGGAAUGACAAGGUGCAUGGACAUUCUUCCAACACCGACUCAAUCAUUUGGGUCCCAAUCAACUAAUAACUAAAGAAAAUUCAGAGCGGGUUUUCCGGCGACCAGUGGGCUGUUAUCAGCAUACCAGCGUCUGUAAAGACAUCGAUACAGAUACGAAUGUAGUUCCCCAGUUGUUCAUUCCUGCAUCGUCUGUCUGCAGGGGUUACCGCUCGGUUCUGAGUACUGCUGGGAUCUGAGAUGCUAGUCCACAGGGUGCCCUGUCAGAAGAGCUUAUCUGUCCGUUCGUACAGCGGUCUACUACCACCAGGGGAAUUUAGGAACCAAUGAGUAAUUUAAAAAUAGCCCAUUUCCUUACUUGUAUUUCUUCACCGUGAAGUUGAAACCUCCUCCACUCUCCCAUGUCUUCCCCACCACUCACAGCCUCACUGCCCCCUCCCCCGGGGCUCCUGGGGAGCCGCAGCCCUCGCUCCGUGCUCCUAGCCCUGCAUCCCUCGCCCUGUGCCUCUGGCCCCGAGCCCUGAGCACUGAGUCCUGAGCUCUGCGCCCCUAGCCCUGCACGUGGGUUAGUUGUUUAUUAUCAGGGAAAAUAGAUACCAAAUUUUUUAAAAAAGUGUUAUUACUAAGGGAGGGCAGAGCUCAGUGGUAGAGUGCCUGCCUCGCAUGCGCAAGGUACUAGGGUCAACCCCCAGUGCCUCCAUUGAUAGUAAAUAAGUAGGAACCUAAUUACCUCCCCCGCAGAAAAUAAAAAAUAAUUUUAAAAAAGUAUUAUUACUAACAACUAUAGAAAAUGGAUAAACAGCAAGGUCCUACCAUGCAGCACAGGGAACUACACUCAGUAUCUUGUAAUAGCCUAUAAUGAGAAAGAACAUGGAAGGAAUGUAUCUAUGCACAAUGAGUCACUGUGAACGCCCCUAGUCUCGUUUCCCCCUCGCACACCUUUAGGGGCAAUGCUCGAUCUGCGUAAGCUAAGGCUGCUUUGCUUCGGGCUGUAGCAAGGCCAUAAUGAUCACCUUCAGUAUGCACCUCUUGAUUGCUUCUCGCUAAUUGUGGGAAUGUCAGGUGAGUAAUCUACCAUCACCCAGGAAGGGAGGGAAGGCACAAGAGUCCUUGAGCCGGCCACUUCUGAAGACAUUUGCUGCAGACAAGAUUCACUCAGAGUAAGGGUGGGGUCGUUUGCUAUGAGGAGCCCAAGAUUUUCCAGGUGAGAAGUAAUUGAAAUCUCGCCCCCAGCUCCCUGGGAGUCUAAGCUGGGGUCGGCUGAGCCAAACCCCAGCGACAGAGAGCAGGUUAACUAAGAUUAAGGGGUAGGUGGGCGGACGGCUGCCAGCAUAACGGACACCAACUGGGGCCCGUGUGUCCUCCUGUCUCGCGGGUCCGACUCAGCACUGGACGUGCAGCAAAUCAGUCCUCUGUCGUCAAGGGCUUUGCAACGAGUAGAUAUUGUCGAAUAAUCAUUAGGACCAGGCGCCUCCAUGCUCUGUUUCUCCCCAGACAAUCAUGAAAAGCCUUUACCGGUGUAUCCCCAGCACCCCCGAGACGAACUCUCCUUUCACAAAUCCUAACUCAGGAGCGCCACCUCCUGUUCCAAGCACCUGCCUCCACCUUCCAGGUGAGCUAUGACAUUGUCCCAGUGGCCCCCGUAGGUGCGGGCUGCGCUGUGACUGCUUCUGGAUCACUGUCCCCUCAGCCCCCCCCCCACCCCGUGAGUGAGUUACCCUCUAAUGCACUGGCCCAGGGUCAUUCGGAGCGGCCGGCCUCGUUUUUGGGCCCAGUAUGCCUUUGCAGUUGGUGGCUCUUCCAUUCCCCACCUCCUCCGACGGCAGCGCUGCACCCCGCCUCCAGGCAGGGCCUGAUUUGGGAAGAGAGCUGGUGUUUAUUCAGGCUUUGGCUCAGGAGGAAAGCCCCUCAGUUUCCACCUACCCUGCAACGGUGCUACGCUUGGUGGUAUGAGAGCCGGGAACACGAGGUCUCAUUGGUCAUGAGACAUCACCGCGGCCGGGACGGGGCCCUGAAUCAGCAGGGCCAUCCCUGGAACACAGAUAAAUUCCACUGGUCAGACUCAGCGGGACCGGCCCUCACUAAGAACCUGGCCUGGGGACACAGGAGCAGCUGCACCUUGAGCAGAUUUCAGACGUUUCCCGGGACCUACAGGGAGAAGGGAGCCUUGGGAGGAACUUUUCCGAGGUCUCUUCCGAAUCAGCGCCAUGAAGUUAUUUUGCCUUUUCGUCUUUGUGGCCUUCUUCAUCUGCCAAGUAACGCCAGGUAAACCCUCUCAGGCAUCUCCCUUCUGUAGAGGAGUCCUAUUUCCUUUCUCCAGUCUGCUGCACUUUCAGAAGGACACCCUGGCUCCCCACCCCAGCUCAGGGACACUAACACGGGAAGAACGAGAGCAGGGACAUUUCUCAAGGGCUUCCCUGCAUUUGCACCUUCGGACUGUCUACACUUGAGGCACUGAGAAGGAACACUGACAUCGACGGGGGAAGAACCUUGGACCUGCUUUUUUGUCCAGUCUGAUGACACCCCUGCACAUAGGUCUCCUUUCUUAAAGCUUCCGCCUACUGAUGUGCGUUGGAGCUGCCAGCUCUGUCCAAAGUUUACCAUUUGCCUCAUCCUAGAGGCAUUGUCUUGAAUGAGUGGCUGUGAGAGCAAGAAAAGAGGACACUUUGAGGUUUGUGGAACCAUGGCAUCCUGGGGAAAACGCAGAGGUGUAUCCUGCCCGUAUCUUGAGCAAAAGGUGGCAUGGAUGGUGAGAGAGAGGGAGGCUGGAGCCUGAGUCCCUGCCUGAUGGUUCCCUGCGUCACAGAAGUGCCGAGUGUCCCGUGCCGCUUGGGGGAGCAAAGGGGCCUGUGUGCGAGCACCGCAGGGCUCUGGCUGGGCACCGGGAGUUGGAACCUUGCUUCCUGCAGAAAGUCGGCAAUUCUCUUCUGCUGCCAUGUUGUGCUUCAUACUCACCCAGCGUGUCCUCCACUUCUCCCUCACUCUCUACUUCCUCCGAGGUCCUGUCUUAAUAGAAGCUCAUCUGAUCAAAUAUUCCCUUCCCAGGUCACACUGCUCAGGGCUUCUUGUGCCUUCCAGAGAGUCGGUUCACAAAACUGACAAGACCGAGCUAAGGGGUCAGGAGCCGGAUGGAGCGGCGUGCCCCCCACCCCGACCCCCUCCUCCUCUGCUCUGGGUUACCCGCGGCCCGUUCCCUGUGGACCCGCUGGGCAGGGUGACUGAUUUCAUUGUGUCCCUCGGAUGAGUGACCAGAAUCAGCCUCCUCACUGGGCUAAUUUUCAGUCAGAGAGGAGGCAAGUGUAGACCCUGGCGGGCUGUGAGUCUGUAUCCUCUCUUGGGGAAGAAAAAGGAGGGGACUCGCAGGCCUCCUCAAAGAGAGGUUCUUGGUGCAGCACUGGGACAGUGAUGUUAGUGGCCCUCAGGCUUGGGGGGCGCAGGCGCCAGAGCUCCUCGGUCACAGCUGCCGUGAUCAGCACAGAGGGGUGUGGGCGGCCCUGCCACGGCAGCCACAACUGCUUGGCGUGAAGACAGGGACACAGGAGCCGGGCUGAGCAAACUGUCUGCUGGAGGCCCAGUUCCAGCCCCUGCCCUCGCAGCAGGCGGGGACAACAGGGCUGAGGCCCCGAGUCGGGGCAGCAGGGGCGUGGGAGCCUGGCGUGGACCCCAGGAGGGGUGGCCGUGGCCCUUGUCCAGGCUGAGGCCAGUGAGAGCCGCCCCCCGACCACUGCAGCCUAUGCCAAAGCUGGCGGUCUCUGCGCGUGGUCCGUCACAGACAGGCGGGGCUCGGGGCCCUCCUCCUCUCUCCCACCUGCUAGGAGGCAGGAAAGCAGGCUUUUCAGCCUGGCUUGGAGCCAGGUGGGAUUUUCUUUUCUCUUUUAGAAACCUCUCUCCCCAGCUGGUACCCUGGCUACUCUGGGACCUUUGCUUUAGGGACUUGAAUUUUAGGUCUUAAACCUUAUUUUUUUUAGGACAGAUCUGAUAAACCCUGAAGGCGGGGUUCGUCUCUAAGCCUGGGAACUGUGAGUGAGCUUGAGCCGGUUACAGCCAGUCCUCAAGGGGGCCAAGCACACUGUGUGCGUGUGUUUGCACGUUUAGUGAGUAGGCGUGCAGUCUCCUGCCCGGGCUAGGGCUGCCGUACCGUCCUAUUUGCAGUGGGCUCCUGUCCCAGGAAGAUAGAAAGACAAAAUGUUAACGCGUUGCUUCCCAAAGACAUUAUCUGACGACCCCACAACGCGCAUCUCAGAAGGCACAAUUGCAGGCUCUCUGUCCACCCAAGAGGAGUAUUUAACGCCUCUGAGCCCAGCUUCCAAACGAAAGCACAAACUAUUUCUGCUCACAACAAGCUCUUGAAGACUGGCAUCGUCCUCCUGUUUAAGGAGCCAGGAGAAGGGACAAGGUGGGAAAGAUGAGGUUAUGAGCACAGCGAAACGCUUCGUUUCUGUGACUCACAUGCAAGUGUGUGCCUGAGGAGGAAGAGAAAUUGCAUUAUUCGCAGGCCAGGGCUAUGCCCUGGGAGGAGCUUCUGCUGCACAAGGGUAAAGUGAGCUGAAAAAUCCACAUCUGGUGGAACGACCCUGAAUGAGGUGCAUUGGCGAGUUCACGUUUAAUGGAUUAUCCUUGAAUUAAACUGGAAAGCUGAGACCUCGUUAUAUUGUUCUCUUUAUCAGUUUCGCUUAUUUUGUCAACACCCAUUCAUUUAUUUUGAACACCUGCCCUGGGCUGGAAACUCUGCUGGUGGCCUGGGAUGUGGAGUCAAGGUCUCUUGUGCUAAGAAACUCACAGUCAUGGAAAUCUUACCCAAGGUGGGUGGGUCAAGGAUGUCUUCCCAGGGAAGGCCAUACAGGAGUCUUUAAAAAAUGAGUAAGAAUUAGGCAGGGCAAGUUGAAGGACAAGUGACUAAGUGCGUUCCAAUGUGCGGAGAACAAAAUGUACGAGGGGACUCUGCCAGAAACACGGCUGCCACUAUGUUCGGGGAGUUUGAGAACCAGGAUGUGAUGAGAUGAAACCAGAGAAAGUAUGGCCAGUGGGUGGAGGAUGGGAGACUCUGAGGAAGUUCUACUUUACCCUUUUAAGCUACAGGGAAAGGUUGAAGAGUUUUAACUUGAGGUAUGAAGAGGGACUGGAGAGGCUGGAAACCCAGAGGACUGGAGGGUGGUUAUUUAAACCAACUUGGGGUUUAAAUUACUUGGGGGAGCAGAAGCAUGAGGGUCUGGUCACUGGAGGUGGGAGGUGAGACCGAAGAUUUCUGAUAGGUCUGGCCCCCUGGGUCCUGGGGAUUUCCAGCAGCUGAGUCCUUGGUCUAGAGCCUAAAGGAAAGAUCAAGAGAGUGAUUUCUGAGACAUUAGGAUUCUUAUGGGUGAGACUUGAAGCCUCCCAGGCCAGGCAUCCAGCAGAGGCUAAAGUAACAGAGUUGAGAAUGAGAAGGUGGGUCUGUCCAGGAAGCCGGCAGGUUGAGAGGUAAACUUGGUAGCUUCGUCUGGAGCCAUUCUGGCAAACGGCCCUUCUGUUUCCCUCCUGGCAUCAUGGCGAUCAGCUCAAAAUUGCCAAAGAUCCCUGGGGUAGAAACUAUCCUGAUUCCGACUCUAACGCUAAUGCCUGUUUCAAUAAUUACGUCUAACUUGAGUUGAGGGCAUUAAGGGUUGCCAUUUGGCCUCUGACAUCGGACCUCCUCAGGGACAGUGGUUUCUCUCAUGAUGAAUCUUUCCCCAUUGUCCCCAGGUGGUGGAGAACACGGUGCUCCCGUCAGGCAUGAAUUCCUUAACGCCUUGGUGAAAGGAAGGCCCCCUGACCUUCCCAAGGUCACAGUCAGAGCACAGCUCUGUGGUCACGUGUAGUUAAGUCAACUUCAACUUCCGUCUCUCUUUGGAUUCCUUCUGCUGAGGUGUAUUUCUGAUAUUCUGACCCUUCGACUUCAUUUACUGAAUUCGUAUCUAAGUCAGCCCAGCACCUCCCUGAGCCUCCCCCGCAGUGGAGCUGGAUUAUUCAACCCA